This 253-nucleotide ribosomal RNA is filed under the name uncultured bacterium. RNAcentral describes it as "partial 16S ribosomal RNA". It matches the Rfam family "Bacterial small subunit ribosomal RNA", at positions 524 to 776 of the family's 1533-position model. The record is from RNAcentral.
UACGGGGGGGGCAAGCGUUGUUCGGAAUUACUGGGCGUAAAGGGCUCGUAGGCGGCCAACUAAGUCAGACGUGAAAUCCCUCGGCUUAACCGGGGAACUGCAUCUGAUACUGGAUGGCUUGAGUUCGGGAGAGGGAUGCGGAAUUCCCAGUGUAGAGGUGAAAUUCGUAGAUAUUGGGAAGAACACCGGUGGCGAAGGCGGCGACCUGGUCCGAUACUGACGCUGAGGCGCGAAAGCGUGGGGAGCAAACAGG